UACGAAGGGGGCUAGCGUUGCUCGGAAUCACUGGGCGUAAAGCGCACGUAGGCGGCUUUUUAAGUCAGGGGUGAAAUCCUGGAGCUCAACUCCAAAACUGCCUUUGAUACUGGGAAGCUCGAGUCCGGGAGAGGUGAGUGGAACUCCGAGUGUAGAGGUGAAAUUCGUAGAUAUUCGGAAGAACACCAGUGGCGAAGGCGGCUCACUGGCCCGGUACUGACGCUGAGGUGCGAAAGCGUGGGGAGCAAACAGG
This 253-nucleotide ribosomal RNA is filed under the name uncultured bacterium. RNAcentral's name for it is "partial 16S ribosomal RNA". It matches the Rfam family "Bacterial small subunit ribosomal RNA", at positions 524 to 776 of the family's 1533-position model. The record is from RNAcentral.